CAGGGGCGUGCUUACCAUGCAAGUCGAACGAGAACGGAUUAUAGCUUGCUAUAAUUGUCAGCUAAGUGGCGCACGGGUGAGUAAUGUAUAGGUAAUAUGCCUCUUACUAAGGGAUAACAAAUGGAAACGUUUGCUAAUACCUUAUACUCCUUAUUAACAGAAGUUAAUAAGGGAAAGAUUUAUUGGUAAGAGAUUAGCCUGUAUUGUAUCAGUUAGUUGGUGGGGUAAUGGCUUACCAAGACUAUGACACAUAACUGGUUUGAGAGGAUGAUCAGUCACACUGGAACUGAGACACGGUCCAGACUCCUACGGGAGGCAGCAGUGGGGAAUAUUGCACAAUGGACGAAAGUCUGAUGCAGCAACGCCGCGUGGAGGAUGACACAUUUCGGUGCGUAAACUCCUUUUAUAUGAGAAGAUAAUGACGGUAUUAUAUGAAUAAGCACCGGCUAACUCCGUGCCAGCAGCCGCGGUAAUACGGGGGGUGCAAGCGUUACUCGGAAUCACUGGGCGUAAAGAGCAUGUAGGCGGAUUAAUAAGUUUGAAGUGAAAUCCUAUAGCUUAACUAUAGAACUGCUUUGAAAACUGUUAAUCUAGAAUGUGGGAGAGGUAGAUGGAAUUUCUGGUGUAGGGGUAAAAUCCGUAGAGAUCAGAAGGAAUACCGAUUGCGAAGGCGAUCUACUGGAACAUUAUUGACGCUGAGAUGCGAAAGCGUGGGGAGCAAACAGGAUUAGAUACCCUGGUAGUCCACGCCCUAAACGAUGUACACUAGUUGUUGUGAGACUUGAUCUUGCAGUAAUGCAGUUAACACAUUAAGUGUACCGCCUGGGGAGUACGGUCGCAAGAUUAAAACUCAAAGGAAUAGACGGGGACCCGCACAAGCGGUGGAGCAUGUGGUUUAAUUCGACGAUACACGAAGAACCUUACCUGGACUUGACAUAGUAAAGACUUUCUAGAGAUAGAUUGGUGUCUGCUUGCAGAACUUUAUUCAGGGGCUGCCCGGUUUCCUCACUCCGGUCCGGAAAAUUUGGGUUAAUCCCGC
Molecule: ribosomal RNA, 1039 nt
Filed under: Aliarcobacter cryaerophilus
Lineage: Bacteria; Pseudomonadati; Campylobacterota; Epsilonproteobacteria; Campylobacterales; Arcobacteraceae
Description: bacterial SSU rRNA
Rfam family: Bacterial small subunit ribosomal RNA
Source: RNAcentral